Long non-coding RNA from Zea mays, 2245 nucleotides. RefSeq lists it as uncharacterized. The record is from RefSeq and is a predicted model, not a curated record. Lineage: Eukaryota; Viridiplantae; Streptophyta; Magnoliopsida; Poales; Poaceae. The transcript is spliced from 2 exons.
UUCUAAUACCUGCAUGCUUAUAAUUGCAUAUAAAUAAUAAAGUGGUGUGAUCUAUAUUUCAUCAGAUUGGUUCCACCAUUUUACCUCUGCAAUGGACUAGCAGGUGGAUAGAGUAGUGUAUCUGUUACAAAUGUCAUUAUCAUUAUCCAGAUAUUUGUUUUGGAAUUGUUGGGGGCAAUGAUUUCAAGUCGUCCGACUAAUCGCGAUUAAUCGCGAUUAGUCGGGCUAGUCGGUUUUAGUGGAGCGACCAGGGUAUCCGACCCGAUUAGGCCGACUAAUCGUCCAGUCGUUCGGUUAGUCGUCGACCAAGUGCGAUUAGUCGUCCAGUUAAUGUGUGGACGAUUAGUUAGGUUUGGUCGGCUGGCAGCUGGCCUGUUUUUGCUUUGGGCUGGACGUCUAGUAAGUCUGCAACUCUACAUCAUAUGUUAUGUAGUGAGUAUGAGUGAUAUUCAGUUCAUGUUCUGAAAUUUGAAUUCUUAAUUCUGAAAUAUGAUCUGAGUGCCUGACAAUUCUAGUAUUCAUAAUUUCUAUGAUGUUCUGAAAUUUGAAUUGUCCACUCUCCACUGUCCAGUUCUAGUAUUCAUAUUUGUUUUGUUUGGUAAUUUGGUUACUUUGAUAUUGCGUCCUAUAUGCUAUAUUGCUAUAUGCUACGCAUAUAUAUAUAAUAUUACAUUAUUACACAUAUAUAUAAUUAUAUAUAUAGGUCCUGUACCUGUAAAUAUGCAGGAGGACCAGUAGGGACGAUCAGGUCGACUAGGACCCGAUUAGUCGACCUAAUCGUCGACUGGUCGACUAAUCGCGAUUAGUCGCCUGGUCGCCUAGGUGUCUCGACUAGCUAGUCGAGUGACUUGAAACCAUUGGUUGGGGGACAUGUCGCAAUUCUGAAAGAAUAACAACAGGGCAACACGAUUAGUUUGUUAAUUCCUGCUCCCCUUCAUGCUUUUGGGGGAGGGGGAGAAGGUAGUGAAAGGGUUUUGUCAACUUUUGAAUGUAAUCUCAUGAUUAUUUUUAUACAGAAGCUUUAAUCUGUAAAGCAAGCAAUGAACCAAGAAAAAAGUAUAUGGCAUAAGGCUGUAUAAGCUUCGGAUAUGAAAGGGUAACGAAAGGGAUCGAGUUCCUGUACAACCCUAUAUGAAAUAACAUCUUCACCCUCCCUUUUACAUAGUAACGCUUUACAUUCGAAGGUGUAUAUUUCCGACCUUCCACUAUAUAGACAUGUCACACACGAUUUCUCUCGGUCGAAGCUUCUUUUAGGCGCCACUUUUAAAGGUAUUUGUAUAUUCUGGCGACGCUGUUAGAAUACAAGUAAAUUGCCCACCUCUCUUUAUCAGCUUUAGUUUUUUGGGUUGAAUUGGUUGGGACAUGCAACUCAAUAUGCUAUCAAAGACGUAGUUAUUAAGGCGAGUUAAGGUGAGCGACUCCCUUUUCAACUUAUAAGUGGAAAGACGUAAGGUGAGACGACGCCUUACCCAUAUAUAAAUAUAGGAAAAUAUAGAGAGUUAAGGCGAGGUGUUCAUAGAAAUAUAUAAUAUAAUGUAUAUAUUUGCACACAAAAUUUGGUCUUGAAACACUCUAAUGGGUCUCUAACAUACAUAACUCAAAGAAUCCAGUAUUUCCUUUGAAUUAUACUCUGUCAAAAGAUGUUAGAAAGAAAAAAAGAAGUGGAAAAGAAGAAAAAAAAGGAUGGUAUGGACUUUUAUUUGGUGGCCCAUCUAGAAGCCCAUUAACUCAGCACAAACCCAGGUUCCACCACAGCCACACCCAAAUCCUAACUUUUUCCCUGCUCUAGCAGCCGCCGUCGAUUCUAUGCCUUCUAGGCUCAUAGCUUCGGUGCACCGUUGCCUCCCCCACUUGCGCUCAGCACGCAAGCUCAGUUGCGGCUCCCCAUCCUGCCGCGCUCCUGCGACCUCGCCGCCGUGCGCACCUGCGACCUCUGCCGCCGCGCCUUACGUCCGCGGGCAAGGCGAGCAGGACACCUUAUAAAAUAAUUAUUGUUUGUUCCUAUCCUAUGUCUAAGCCGUGGGAGAGCCACGACGUGAGAGUGAGUGUUAGAAUACAAGUGAAUUGUCCACCUCUUUUUGUCAGCUUAAGCUUUUAAGUUGAAUUGGUCGGUGCAUGCAACACAAUUGUCGUCGAAGCUUCACUUCUCAGCAUCUUUAACAUUAUUUGCUUUUUAACUCUCCCCCGGCUAGACGAAUCAGACUAGAUGAAUUAGACUGACGGAGGUCAGGGGGCGAAUGUUGCC